CUUGUUUUUCCUCUCAUUAGUUGUUGCCAGGUAACGCGUCACCGCCAUAGGAGUUAGCUGUUGUUUACAUCAGUGUUGCCACGAAAUAGUUUUCUCUAAAGCCAAAAAAGUUGCUAAAUCGGGCAAAUAAAUACCACUUGAAAUGUAAAAAAAAGCCACUUUUAAAGCCACUUUCUCAAAAAUAAAAAUAACUAUUAAAGUGUUGCACUCGUUAAUAAUCCGAAUAAACCAAGAACAAAUACAAA
Molecule: long non-coding RNA, 245 nt
Organism: Daphnia magna
Lineage: Eukaryota; Metazoa; Arthropoda; Branchiopoda; Diplostraca; Daphniidae
Exons: 2
Source: RefSeq, a predicted model, not a curated record